AGAAAUAAAUGAAAUUUAAGCAAAAUAAUGGGCGAAAUCGCGACACGCGAAUUACAUGGAGGGCCAAAUCGGAAAUAAUCCGCCUCCCCAAAACAGUGUCGUUUCGCUAGCAUGAUUUAAAACAGUUUUUAAAAAAAAAACAUUGUUUGCAGCAUAGAAAAAAAAGAAAACAAAAAAAAAACAAAGGCUCUCUACUAGGGUUUUUAACCCCAG
This 213-nucleotide long non-coding RNA is filed under the name Gossypium raimondii (Peruvian cotton). Its description in RNAcentral is "long non-coding RNA (GRAI_LNC002671)". The record is from RNAcentral. Lineage: Eukaryota; Viridiplantae; Streptophyta; Magnoliopsida; Malvales; Malvaceae.